Molecule: long non-coding RNA, 339 nt
Filed under: Phoenix dactylifera (date palm)
Lineage: Eukaryota; Viridiplantae; Streptophyta; Magnoliopsida; Arecales; Arecaceae
Description: long non-coding RNA (PDAC_LNC016306)
Source: RNAcentral
ACAAACCGGAGUGUGACUAAGAGGAGCACUAUUUCAUGUUUUUCUCAUCCCUAUGGCGCUAGUGCUCAUAAAAGCAAGCGGUAGGAUGAGUUCGUUUGUAUAACUCUUAAUGAGUCCGAGACCCAAGUGGCAGGAGCUUCCUUGCUAGCUUCCUUAUUAGGACUCACCUAUAUGUGCAGUCGUGAGGCCGCGAUUAUGGAAAAUGGGCGAUUUCUUAAAAAGCACAUGAUGGAUAUCUGCGCAUGGCCAUAACAGCGCAACCCGCUUAGAACCCAGAUCGGGCUAUAUUAUGUGUGUUGUUGAUUUAAUCUGAGCCAUGGACCGAGGUUCAAGGUUAAG